Molecule: transfer RNA, 72 nt
Filed under: Pseudourostyla cristata
Lineage: Eukaryota; Ciliophora; Spirotrichea; Urostylida; Pseudourostylidae
Description: tRNA-Met
Rfam family: tRNA
About the family: Transfer RNA (tRNA) molecules are approximately 80 nucleotides in length. Their secondary structure includes four short double-helical elements and three loops (D, anti-codon, and T loops).
Source: RNAcentral
GAUAAUGUAAUUUAGUGGUUAAAAUAGUCGAUUCAUACUCGAUUUUCCCCAGUUCGAAUCCGGGCGUUAUCA